UUCGUUCUUCUUCUUCUUCUUCUUCUUCUCUGGUUUUCUACUUCUCCUCUCUGUCGAUUUCAAUCUCAGAGAUUUGAGAUUCUUCAUGUUCGAGAAAUUAUCGUAUACCUAGUUAGCUUGAUGAUAUGAGGAAGGAGGUGAUGUUACUGUAGCCGAUUGGGUUCUGGAAACAACAGAAAUUUGGCGAUCGAUUCAAAGAGUGAACCAGUGGAUUAUGGAUCUCAAGGUAGGCGAGGUUUGUCAUCAAAAGAGUUUCAGUAAUCAGAAGAAAUGGUGCACGUGAAGAUGUCCGUUUUGUAGCGUAAGGUUUUUAGCGAUCGGAGACGUUUAUUUAUCUUUUAUAUAUGUACUCUUUCUCUGUAAAUAACACAUUAUUAUAUAUAUCACUCGAGAUAUU
Molecule: long non-coding RNA, 397 nt
Organism: Papaver somniferum (opium poppy)
Lineage: Eukaryota; Viridiplantae; Streptophyta; Magnoliopsida; Ranunculales; Papaveraceae
Exons: 3
Source: RefSeq, a predicted model, not a curated record